This 253-nucleotide ribosomal RNA is filed under the name uncultured bacterium. RNAcentral's name for it is "partial 16S ribosomal RNA". It matches the Rfam family "Bacterial small subunit ribosomal RNA", at positions 524 to 776 of the family's 1533-position model. The record is from RNAcentral.
GACAGAGGGUGCAAGCGUUGUUCGGAAUCAUUGGGCGUAAAGCGCACGUAGGUGGUCUUGUAAGUCGGGUGUGAAAGCCCAGGGCUUAACCCUGGAAGUGCACCCGAAACUGCUCGACUUGAGUCCCGGAGAGGGUGGCGGAAUUCCGAGUGUAGAGGUGAAAUUCGUAGAUAUUCGGAGGAACACCAGUGGCGAAGGCGGCCACCUGGACGGAGACUGACACUGAGGUGCGAAAGCGUGGGUAGCAAACAGG